AUGCUGGGAGCGGCUGGAGAAGGGGAUCCCAGCAAACGGUUUUCCAAGGCCACCUCCACAGCAGCCCGAAGUCCCAGCCCCACGAAGUCCACAUCAGUUGGAGGCUGGGGGAAGCAGAUACGAUGUCGCCAUGGCAGUUAUGGCACUGAAUUGUCACCGCUUGCUCAGCGUCUCGUGUACGGGGGCCUGGCGCGAAGCUUCUGGGUGCACGUACGUUAGCAACGGAGCAGCAGGGGGAUGUGUGCUCUCAGGCCCUUCCUUUUCUUGAAAAUUGGGAUCCACCAGUGAGGACUGCACAAGAACUGCAGUACCAGGUGAGGCUGUGGGGAGACGGACAACGGGGUUUCAUCAUGGGGGGGUAGGAAGGGGCAGCACGCUAUUGCAUCUCCUACCUUGCAGAUAACCGAUUUAAUGAUUUGCUACUGCUAGUGAGAACAGUCCUUUAGAUAAAGAAGGGGGGAAGCAAAUUCACAAUCUGAAUCAUGGUCAUGCUUCUGGUUCUGGGGAGUUUUCACAAAGCAAGACAGUAAUAGACAGAUUUAUCUUUUGUUUGGUUGCUGUUUUUAUUAGCACUGCGUGCAGACUAGGAAGCCAGACCCUGUUGCUACCAGAUUAAUAUUUGAACACUGUGGGCACCGGAGUUGACUCAUCAGGAAUUAGUUUGCCUACAGCCCAACGCAGAGCAGUCGCACAAACACAGCGUAGUCACAGACCCGCUUGCAGCUCGAAGGUCAGAUGUUGAGCUUGUGCUCUGCCAGGCGCCCAGAGAUAGCUCCAACAAUAGGCUGAUUUAGGCUUCCCGGCUCGCAGGGACUGAACCUUUCAGUGCUUCAAAUUGCAACUUCGCUGCGUCUGUUAUUUGCCCGUUUCUGCAUUCUGUUGAGAUCACAAUUGCUUCUAGAUAAAUGAGCUUGAGCACGGCCUGACUUCCAUCACCUUCUGCUCUUAGAUAUUAAAAGGAGAAUAACAGGAUACCAAAAAGGUACUCGAACUCUACUGCUUUUGAUUUGAAGUGGCAUUUCCAAUGAGCGUUAAAAACAGCAAGCCAGAAAGAUGAGGUUCGUACUAGAUCAUUUGCUAAAUUAAGCUAAAUAAAUGCUGCUUUUUCCCGCUGCUUUCUUAUAUU
RNAcentral lists this long non-coding RNA (1126 nucleotides) under Apteryx rowi (Okarito brown kiwi). RNAcentral describes it as "lncRNA (ENSARWG00000002208.1)". The record is from RNAcentral. Lineage: Eukaryota; Metazoa; Chordata; Aves; Apterygiformes; Apterygidae.